UUUUAUUGGGCCUAAAGCGUCCGUAGCCGGUUAAUAAGUCUCUGGUGAAAUCCUGUAGCUUAACGUGUGGGAAGUUGCGUGGAGAUACUAUUAGACUUGAGACCGGGAGAGGUUAGAGGUACUCCCAGGGUAGAGGUGAAAUUCUGUAAUCCUGGGAGGACCGCCUGUUGCGAAGGCGUCUAACUGGAACGGUUCUGACGGUGAGGGACGAAAGUUAGGGGCGCGAACCGGAUUAGGAUACCCGGGUAGUCCUAAACUGUAAACGAUGCGGACUUUGGUGUUGGGGUGGCUUUGAGCUGCUCCAGUGCCGAAGGGAAGCUGUUAAGUCCGCCGCCUGGGAAGUACGGUCGCAAGACUGAAACUUAAGGAAUUGGCGGGGGAGCACCACAACGCGUGGAGCCUGCCGGUUUAAUUGGAUUCAACGCCGGACAUCUCACCAGAGGCGACAGCUGUAUGAUAGCCAGGUUGAUGACUUUGCUUGACUAGCUGAGGAGUGGUGCAUGG
RNAcentral lists this ribosomal RNA (504 nucleotides) under uncultured archaeon. Its description in RNAcentral is "bacterial SSU rRNA". It matches the Rfam family "Archaeal small subunit ribosomal RNA", at positions 499 to 997 of the family's 1478-position model. The record is from RNAcentral.